RNAcentral lists this ribosomal RNA (434 nucleotides) under uncultured bacterium. RNAcentral's name for it is "partial 16S ribosomal RNA". It matches the Rfam family "Bacterial small subunit ribosomal RNA", at positions 27 to 507 of the family's 1533-position model. The record is from RNAcentral.
GAACGAACGCUGGCGGCAUGCCUAACACAUGCAAGUCGAACGAGACCUUCGGGUCUAGUGGCGCACGGGUGCGUAACGCGUGGGAACCUGCCCUUAGGUUCGGAAUAACUCCCCGAAAGGGGUGCUAAUACCGGAUAAUGUCUUCGGACCAAAGAUUUAUCGCCUUUGGAUGGGCUCGCGUUGGAUUAGCUAGUUGGUAGGGUAAAAGCCUACCAAGGCGACGAUCCAUAGCUGGUCUGAGAGGAUGAUCAGCCACACUGGGACUGAGACACGGCCCAGACUCCUACGGGAGGCAGCAGUGGGGAAUAUUGGACAAUGGGCGAAAGCCUGAUCCAGCAAUGCCGCGUGAGUGAUGAAGGCCUUAGGGUUGUAAAGCUCUUUUACCCGGGAUGAUAAUGACAGUACCGGGAGAAUAAGCUCCGGCUAACUCCGUG